GAUGAAGAACGUAGCGAAAUGCGAUAAGUAAUGUGAAUUGCAGAACUCAGUGAAUCAUCGAAUCUUUGAACGCACAUUGCGCCCCCUGGUAUUCCGGGGGGCAUGCCUGUCCGAGCGUCAUUGCUGCCCUCAAGCACGGCUUGUGUGUUGGGCCCCGUCCUCCGAUCCCGGGGGACGGGCCCGAAAGGCAGCGGCGGCACCGCGUCCGGUCCUCGAGCGUAUGGGGCUUUGUCACCCGCUCUGUAGGCCCGGCCGGCGCUUGCCGAUCAACCCAAAUUUUUAUCCAGGUUGACCUCGGAUCAGGUAGGGAUACCCGCUGAACUUAAGCAUAUCAAUAAGCGGAGGA
RNAcentral lists this unclassified non-coding RNA (346 nucleotides) under soil metagenome. RNAcentral's name for it is "partial contains 5.8S ribosomal RNA, internal transcribed spacer 2, and large subunit ribosomal RNA". The stretch from base 1 to 120 matches the Rfam family "5.8S ribosomal RNA", at positions 35 to 154 of the family's 154-position model. The record is from RNAcentral.